CAGAGCUUAGAAUUUUCUUUUUCUAAACUUAUUCUUUCAGCUUCCCUGACAAUCCUCCAAGACCUGUCCUGUGGCACCAUCAGCUGAAGAAUCAAUGCCAGUGCAGGAUGUGACUAUCCACUGUAACCACGAGGAAAGUCAUCAGGAGAAAAUAAACGUGGCUUCAAGCUGCAGGUUCACAUCAAAAUCUGCAUUGGAUUCAGGUUUGCUGGCAAUAAAAAGGCAGACCCUUAAUUCA
This is a non-coding RNA of Cyanistes caeruleus (blue tit), 238 nucleotides long. The record is from RefSeq and is a predicted model, not a curated record. Lineage: Eukaryota; Metazoa; Chordata; Aves; Passeriformes; Paridae.